AUUACAUGAGAGUUUGAUCCUGGCUCAGGACGAACGCUGGCGGCGUGCCUAAUACAUGCAAGUCGAACGGUCUUUUCUAUGGAAGCUUGCUUCCACUGAGAAGAUAGUGGCGAACGGGUGA
This 121-nucleotide ribosomal RNA is filed under the name Trichococcus flocculiformis. RNAcentral describes it as "16S rRNA. Bacterial SSU". It matches the Rfam family "Bacterial small subunit ribosomal RNA", at positions 1 to 109 of the family's 1533-position model. Lineage: Bacteria; Bacillati; Bacillota; Bacilli; Lactobacillales; Carnobacteriaceae. The record is from RNAcentral.